Molecule: ribosomal RNA, 1290 nt
Filed under: Triticum aestivum (bread wheat)
Lineage: Eukaryota; Viridiplantae; Streptophyta; Magnoliopsida; Poales; Poaceae
Description: partial small subunit ribosomal RNA
Source: RNAcentral
AUGAAGGGAUGGGGUGCUAAUCUGGGUCGCGACCUCCGUGAGCGCAAGAAGGCAUUGCUAUCCGCGAUCCAGGCCCUUGACUUGCGUGCUAACGUGGUGGGUCUUUCUUCAGACGAGUGGCUCUCCCGUUAUGACCUGGAAGACCAGCUCUCCGUGAUCUACACCGAUGAGGAGGCCUACUGGUGCCUCCGUGGUGCCUAGAAAUGGGUCUUGAAAGGCGACGCGAAUACGACAUACUUCCAAGCCAUCGCCAACAGCCGCCGUAGAUGCAACACCAUCCCUCUCUUGUGGGAUGGUGAGACUCUCCUUCAAGACCCCCGCGACAUCCGGUCCCACGUCGACGGUUUCUAUAGAUCCUUAUUCUCUACCGCCCCUAGAAGCAGCAUCUCUCUCGCCCCCGAUUUCUUAUCUGGUUCCCAGUUGGUGUCUGUCUCGGAGAACGCGGCCCUUACGGCCCCCUUCUCCGAGCAAGAGGUCUGGGACGCCAUCAAGGGCAUGAACCCAUCCUCGGCGCCGGGACCGGAUGGCCUCCUGGUUAAAUUUUCCCAGACCUUCUGGAACGUGAUUAAACCGGAGGUCAUGGCCAUCUUCUAUGAGUUCUAUGUUGGCUCCUUUGAUCUCGGGCAUCUCAAUUACGGGAUCAUCUCUCUCAUCCCCAAGGUCCCUGGGGCGUCUGACAUCCGCCAGUUUCUCACGAUCACGGUUAUUAAUGUGAUCUUCCGGAUCCUGGCCAAAGGGUACGCCAAUAGGGUGACCCUGCUGGCAGAUCGUGUGACUCACAACCAGCCGGCCUUCAUUAAGGGCCGUUACAUCCUGGAUGGGGUCCUUGUCCUUCAUGAAGUCCUUCAUGAGGUCCGCGUCAAACACCUCAAGGCGGUUUUUCUGAAGAUUGACUUCCACAAGGCCUACGAUACAGUUAGCUGGCCCUUCCUCCAGGAGGUCCUUCUUCGGAAGGGCUUCGACGACCGGUGGAUCGCUAGAGUCGUGCAAAUGGUCUCUUGCGGUCGCACGACCGUGAACAUCAACGGUGAGAUUGGCCCUUUCUUCCCCAGCCUUUGUGGGGUUCGACAAGGCGACCCCUUCUCCCCGUUCUUGUUCAAUAUGGUCGUGGACGCGCUUGCCUCCAUUCUGGAUAAGGCAAAAGCCGCUAGCCAUAUUCAUGGGAUUACUCCCCACCUUGUUGGUGGCUCCGAUAUCUCCAUCCUCCAGUAUGCUGACGACACUAUCAUCAUGGUCGAAGGCUCGGAGACGGACACCUCCAACCUCAAGUUCCUCCUUCUCUGCUUCUAA